Molecule: RNA transcript, 3491 nt
Organism: Vicia villosa (hairy vetch)
Lineage: Eukaryota; Viridiplantae; Streptophyta; Magnoliopsida; Fabales; Fabaceae
Gene name: probable LRR receptor-like serine/threonine-protein kinase At1g06840
Exons: 12
Source: RefSeq, a predicted model, not a curated record
CAAAAUAUUUAAUCUAUAUGACAUAUUAAAUAAUAAAUAAUUUAAACAUUAUUAACAAAUUAAUAAAUUAUUGGACCCAUACUAAUGAUCUAAAUUUAUUUGAUGAAAAAAUAAUCUAAACAUGUUAAUGGCAUAGUAAUAAAUAAAUAAAUAAUUCAUAUUCAUUGCAUUUCAUCCAGAUUCAUCGCACAAAGUUAUAAACUCAGAUUCAUCGCAUUUCACCGAUCAUCAUCAUCCUUCAGGAAAAUCCCUAAAUCACAAAAAAAAACCCUUCUUUCAUCUAUCGUCAUGUUUAUUGCAGUCGCGAAAAUCCUAAGGCUUAGAGAUUCAUCAACAAUCGCCCAUUCCUUUGUGUAGCACUGUGAGUAAUUUGACUUUAUCCUUUAGGAAAACCCCUAAAUCGCAAAAACCCCUUCAUCUAUCGUCAUGUUUAUUACAGUCGCAACAAUCUUGAGGUUUAGCGAUUCAUCAACAAUCGUCCCUUCCCUUGUAUGCUUAAAAGAAGCUGCGAGAAAGGAUAUGGGUUCUACAUUUUUUGAUGCAAACUUGUAUCCACAAGGUUCUACGGGUGGUGUUCCAGAGCCCCUUCACCCUAAACCUGGUAUGUUAAAGUAUUUGAUAAGAUAUAGAUGCUUGAACCACUCAGUUUAACUGCUUUUCAUUUGUAUUAGGACUUUGUUCGGCUUCCUUGGAAAAACCAGUCUAGCCAGAACAUUCAAUGCCUGCUAGUGUUUCUAUUCAAUCUGCUAACAGUGGCUUAACUUAUCCGGUGGGAAAGAAAUUGAGAAAGGUAGAAGGUUUGUACUUCGUGCCCCAGUAUAAGACGGAGAGUGAGAAUGAUGAUGAGGAUGACAAAGCGUUGGUGGUAUCCAGCACUGGAAAACACUUCACUUGUGAUGACCUUUAUUGACAGUGAUGAUUCCUAUGUUGACCUUGAUUUUGAAGUGCAACCUUAUCUGAUGAAUAAAGUUGGGGAGGUAGAAGGUGCCUUGAUUGAGUUGGCACACGAACAUCAUUCAAGGGUUACCGUGAGUGGUUCUAUUUUGAUCCCAAUGCACCUGUUACCAAUUUGACUUGAUGAAGUCAGGAAUAAGAUAUCAGCUUUGAAGACAGCUCUACUGAAUGAAAGUCAGAACUCUCUUUCUUCCCUUCUUCGAGUUGAGAAAUACAAAGAAACCAGGCAGGAGUUGGAUAAAAAGUUUGACACUCAAUAUCAACGCCAAAUGGAACCAAUGCAUUUUGUAGUGGUGGUGACCAGGCCUAGAGGACUCAAGAUGGUUAUUCCGAUAGUGAAAAUACCAGUCGCCUUUAUGUGUUAGACUUGCAGUUUAUUCCGUAAACAUUAGUCGGAUCUUGACUUUGAGUCGGAUCCAUGGCCAACAAUCUCUGACAGUGCUAAAGAUUUGGUAAAACUGAUGUUGGAUAGAGACCCUAAGAAUAGAAUCUCUGCUCAUAAUGUCUUAUUGAUAUAGGGGUGAUAUCUGAAGAGUGGUUCAAUGAGAUGAGGAACAAUGCAUUAAGUACAAACUUUGAAUAAUUGAGCUCAUUUUGAAUUUUCUUUUGGGUUAUUUGUAUCUCCCAUACCUACAUUUAGGAGAAUUAUCAGAAAUGGUUCAACAGAAAUGUUCUCAGGGUUACUUUACAUUUAUUCCUUAUUGAACUGCUUAAUUUGUUUGUGGUAUGGAACUCCUUUGAUAUCACAUGAUAAUAUUUUGGUUACAACGGUUAAUUCGAUUGGAACGGUUACUUUGGCUUCUCGUUCAUAUAAAUACAAUCUAUGUAAUCAUGAUAUAAAUCAAUUUGCGGAGCAGAUAUGCUCUAGACGUAUGAAUUUGAGAGGUUUGCCUUUUUUUUUUGUAAAUUAAAAGAACUAAGCUAGUAAUUUAUUGUAGUCAUGUCUUAAUAACAUGUAUGUAUGCUAUGUAUGCCACGGACAUGCCGUCAAUGAAACCUCAUGGCUGGCAGGAUGAAUCUAUGAAGUAAGUAUUCUUUUAGAAAAACAUUUCCAAGCAUACAAGGUUCUUCCUUUUUUCUCUGCUGAAUGGUUCUGCAUAUAUAUAACAUGGUUUGGUUUCCUGCAGGUCUGCAUUUGGAAGAGCAAGAAGAGGCACCAUUGGAAUGAUAUGCAUGGACUUCACAGAAUCAGAUACAGACAUAUCAUUCGUAAGCUCUGGGAGGCCAAGCAGUGCUUAUUCAUCCUCUAUUUACGAUUGCAUGGACUCCGCUCAAACUUCACAAGUUUCUACUAGUUCAAAUUGUAUUGUAAAUAAUGGUUUAUGAAUAUAUGCCAAAUGUCACACUAAGGGAUCACCUUUCUGUUACAUCAAAAGAACCUCUGACUUUUAUCACGAGAUUGAAAAUCGCGCUAGGGUCAGCUAAAGGUCUCAUGUAUCUACACAAUGAAGUUGAUCCUCCCAUAUUUCAUCGGGAUGUCAAGGCCAGCAACAUAUUAUUGAACUCAAAGCUCGCUGCAAAAGUGGCAGAUUUUGGACUUUCAUGGCUUGCCCCAGUUCCAGAUAUGGAAGGCAUUGUUCCUGGUCAUGUAUCUACAGUGGUAAAAGGGACACCGGGUUACCUUGAUCCGAAGUACUUCUUAACUCACAAGUUGACCGACAAGAGUGAUGUUUACAGUCUCGGUGUUGUGUUUCUUGAACUUUUGACCCGAAUGCAUCCUAUCUCACAUGGCAAAAAUAUUGUUAGAGAGGUUAUUCUUUCAUACCAAGCUGGCGUAAUAUUUUCAAUCAUCGACGAGCGAAUGGGGUCAGUAACAAUACUGAUGUGGGAUGUUGAUGCAAUUAUGUGCAUUUCUUGGAGCAGUUGUCCCGAAUUGGCUUAAUAGUAACUUAAAAUUCUUUGCUGUGUUAUCCUUCCGGCGUGUUUAGAAUUUCUUCUACCGUCAUUCACUCUCAGCCAGUUGACAUUUUUUUUGUGCUCCAGUCAUGUUUCAUUGUGAUUCAACCAGCUGCAGCUUCUCUGGUGAUGGUGAAACUCAUUCAUCCCUGCAAGUCCUUAUACAUGCUAGCUGUUAUAAACUUGUUAUUAAGUGAAUUAUUUCAAUUGGUACCAUUAAGAAGUUUGACUAACAUUGUGUUUUGUUUCUGUUUGAGAUCAUUUCUAUAGAGAAUAUUGAACAAUAAUCAUUGUUAUUAAGUGAAUUAUUUCAAUUGGUACCGGUUUCUAUCACUAACCUUUAGAUGUGGCAUGGUUUGUAUGAUGCAAAUGGUUGAAAAUCAAAAGGUUGAGGAGGAAAAUCUACAAGAUCAAAUACAAAUGGUUGAAGAGGAUAAGGACAUAGAAAUGUUGCCAAAAUGAAAGCCAAAGAAGAAGAAGAAAACUUAUAUAUGAAGAAAGUGUUAUGACUUAGUUAAAAUAUAAUUUUUAUGUGUAUGAUUUUAUAGUAGUUGAAAUAUUAUUACUGUACAUGAUUUUCUAUACUUUUUGGUUAAUAUUAAAAAUAUUUUGACUUAGUUAAAAUAUGAUUUUUAUGUGUA